RNAcentral lists this long non-coding RNA (593 nucleotides) under Nicotiana benthamiana. RNAcentral describes it as "long non-coding RNA (NBEN_LNC004094)". Lineage: Eukaryota; Viridiplantae; Streptophyta; Magnoliopsida; Solanales; Solanaceae. The record is from RNAcentral.
GUAUUAUUGUUUUGAUUUAUUAAAAGGCGAGAUGCUUUCGUGGGUCAAUAUGCCUGGUAAAUUGGAUAAUAAUAAUGUACGUUGGCGAAGUAAUAGUUAGUUGAUGAAAUCCAUGUCUCGGUUUAGAGAUUGAUGAUACACCUUUAUGAAAUAAGUUAAGAGAAAGUCUAAAGAAAAUAAUCAAUAAAUUAAAUCGUCAGUAAUUUAAUUUAAUUGAAUCGUAUCUGAAUCUUACCAUGGGGAGUUAAAUAAGAUUUAAUGGUUGAAUUUUGAAUGAGUGCAAUUAUGAAUUUUUAGUGGAAUAAUUCAUAAUUAAUUAUGGUAGAUAUUAAUUUCAAAAAUUAUAUAUUAAUUCCAUAAUUGGAAGCCUUGGUAAUUAUAUUAUGUGGUCCCUAUUGUGCCUAAAUAAUAGGAAAUAAAUGAAUCCUUUUUCUGGUGGAAAAGAAAACUCAACAGGUUUUGGAAAAGGGUCUUAACCCUAAAAAAAUUUGCUAUAAAUCCAUAAGGUUUUCUACCUAGAAAAAAAGAUAUGGUGGCUGAAAUUUUCAGCCAAGUUUUCCUAGAAAUUUCUCCCACAUAAAAUUGUUAUUUUC